UACGGAGGAUGCAAGCGUUAUCCGGAAUGAUUGGGCGUAAAGCGUCCGCAGGUGGUUGUAUGCGUCAAUGGUCAAAGCAUCAUGCUUAAAAUGAUAAAGGCAGUAGAAACUACACGACUAGAGAGCGUUCGGGGCAGAUGGAAUUCCAGGUGUAGCGGUGAAAUGCGUAGAGAUCAGGAAGAACACCGAUGGCGAAAGCGCUCUGCUAGGCCAAACCUGACACUGAGGGACGAAAGCUAGGGGAGCGAAUGGG
Molecule: ribosomal RNA, 253 nt
Filed under: uncultured bacterium
Lineage: Bacteria
Description: partial 16S ribosomal RNA
Rfam family: Bacterial small subunit ribosomal RNA
Source: RNAcentral